RNAcentral lists this ribosomal RNA (472 nucleotides) under uncultured bacterium. RNAcentral's name for it is "bacterial SSU rRNA". It matches the Rfam family "Bacterial small subunit ribosomal RNA", at positions 29 to 533 of the family's 1533-position model. The record is from RNAcentral.
AACGAACGCUGGCGGCAUGCCUAACACAUGCAAGUCGAACGAGACCCCUGACUUCGGUUGGCGGGUCUAGUGGCGCACGGGUGCGUAACGCGUGGGAAUCUGCCCUUGGGUUCGGAAUAACUCAGAGAAAUUUGAGCUAAUACCGGAUGAUGACGAAAGUCCAAAGAUUUAUCGCCCAGGGAUGAGCCCGCGUAAGAUUAGCUUGUUGGUGGGGUAAUGGCCUACCAAGGCGACGAUCUUUAGCUGGUCUGAGAGGAUGAUCAGCCACACUGGGACUGAGACACGGCCCAGACUCCUACGGGAGGCAGCAGUGGGGAAUAUUGGACAAUGGGCGCAAGCCUGAUCCAGCAAUGCCGCGUGAGUGAUGAAGGCCUUAGGGUUGUAAAGCUCUUUUACCAGGGAUGAUAAUGACAGUACCUGGAGAAUAAGCUCCGGCUAACUCCGUGCCAGCAGCCGCGGUAAAGUAGUCGUG